AACGAACGCUGGCGGCAUGCCUAACACAUGCAAGUCGAACGAGACCUUCGGGUCUAGUGGCGCACGGGUGCGUAACGCGUGGGAACCUUCCCUUAGGUUCGGAAUAACUCCCCGAAAGGGGUGCCAAUACCGGAUAAUGUCUUCGGCCCAAAGAUUUAUCGCCUUUGGUUGGGCCCGCGUUGGAUUAGCUAGUUGGUAGGGUAAAAGCCUACCAAGGCGUCGAUUCAAAGCUGGUCUUGGAGGAUGGUCAGCCACACUGGGACAGGGACACGACCCGAAGUCUUACGGAAGGGAGCAGUGGGGAAUAUUGAACAAUGGGUGAGUGAUGAAUCUAGCAGUGCCGCGUAAGUGAUGAAGGCGUGAGGAUUGUAAGGCUCUUUUACCCGGGAUAUUAUUGAGGGAACCGAGAAAAUAGGCUCGGGCUACCUCCGU
Molecule: ribosomal RNA, 432 nt
Filed under: uncultured bacterium
Lineage: Bacteria
Description: partial 16S ribosomal RNA
Rfam family: Bacterial small subunit ribosomal RNA
Source: RNAcentral